UCUGGUUGAUCCUGCCAGUAGCAUAUGCUUGUCUCAAAGAUUAAGCCAUGCAUGUCUAAGUAUAAAUAGUAUACAGUGAAACUGCGAAUGGCUCAUUAAAACAGUCAUAGUUUAUUUGAUAAUGGAAGCCAACAUGGAUAACCGUAGUAAUUCUAGAGCUAAUACAUGCGUCCAAACCUGACUGAAUUGAAAGGUUGUAUUUAUUAGAUACGAAGCCAAUACCUCUUCGGGGGUGUUGUGGUGAGUCAUAGUAACUGAUCGAAUCUCCACACAGUGGAGAUAAAUCAUUCAAGUUUCUGCUCUACCGGCUUUCGAUGGUAGUGUAUUGGACUACCAUGGCAGUCACGGGUGACGGAGAAUUAGGGUUCGAUUCCGGAGAGGGAGCCUGAGAAACGGCUACCACAUCUAAGGAAGGCAGCAGGCGCGUAAAUUACCCAAUCCUGACUCAGGGGGGUAGUGACAAGAAAUAACAACCCGGGGGAUUCAUAUCCUUACGGGAUUGCAAUGAGAACAAUUUAAAUCACUUAACGAGGAUCAAUUGGACGGCAAGUCUGGUGCCAGCAGCCGCGGUAAUUCCAGCUCCAAUAGUGUAUAUUAAAGUUGUUGCAGUUAAAAAGCUCGUAGUUGAACUUCUAGCAGUGUGCAGUUUUGGUCUUGAUCAGGCUGCAUUGCUGUCAUCCGUCUGCAAACCUCGUACAACCUUUAGUGGCUUGGCGAGGGGAGUAGACAUUUUACUUUGAAAAAAUUAGAGUGUUUCAAGCAGGUUAUUGCCAGAAUACUUUAGCAUGGAAUAAUGGAAUAGGACUCUUGUCCAUUUGGUAGGUUAUUGGACCAGAGUAAUGAUUAACAGGGACAGUUGGGGGCAUUAGUAUUUAAUUGUCAGAGGUGAAAUUCAUGGAUUUAUUAAAGACUAACUUAUGCGAAAGCAUUUGCCAAGGAUGUUUUCAUUAAUCAAGAACGAAAGUUAGGGGAUCAAAGACGAUCAGAUACCGUCCUAGUCUUAACUAUAAACGAUGUCGACUCGGGAUUGGGAAGGUAUUUCCAAUUAUCCUUUCCAGCACCGUAUGAGAAAUCAUUAAGUCUUUGGAUUCUGGGGGGAGUAUGGUCGCAAGGCUGAAACUUAAAGGAAUUGACGGAAGAGCACCACCAGGCGUGGGACCUGCGGCUUAAUUUGACCCAACACGGGAAAACUUAUUUCAGCAAAACAUGAGUGGGAUGACAGAUUGAGAGCUCUUUCUUGAUUUUAUGGGGUGUGGUGCAUGGCCGUUCUUAGUUGGUGGAGUGAUUUGUCUGGUUAAUUCCGUUAACGAACGAGACCUUAACCUGCUAACUAGUCAGCGUGUUAACCUACGCGUUGUACUUCUUAGAGGGACUAUGGGUAAUAAGCCCAUGGAAG
RNAcentral lists this ribosomal RNA (1396 nucleotides) under metagenome. Its description in RNAcentral is "SSU rRNA". It matches the Rfam family "Eukaryotic small subunit ribosomal RNA", at positions 1 to 1443 of the family's 1831-position model. The record is from RNAcentral.